CCUACGGGAGGCAGCAGUGGGGAAUAUUGCACAAUGGGGGAAACCCUGAUGCAGCGACGCCGCGUGAGUGAAGAAGUAUUUCGGUAUGUAAGGCUCUAUCAGCAGGGAAGAAAAUGACGGUACCUGAUUAAGAAGCCCCGGCUAACUACGUGCCAGCAGCCGCGGUCAUACGUAGGGGGCAAGCGUUAUCCGGAUUUACUGGGUGUAAAGGGAGCGUAGACGGCAGCACAAGUCUGGAGUGAACUGCCGGGGCUUAACCCCGGAACUGCUUUGGAAACUGUGCAGCUAGAGUGCAGGAGAGGUAAGUGGAAUUCCUAGUGUAGCGGUGAAAUGCGUAGAUAUUAGGAGGAACACCAGUGGCGAAGGCGGCUUACUGGACUGUAACUGACGUUGAGGCUCGAAAGCGUGGGGAGCAAACAGGAUUAGAUACCCGAGUAGUC
Molecule: ribosomal RNA, 440 nt
Filed under: uncultured bacterium
Lineage: Bacteria
Description: partial 16S ribosomal RNA
Rfam family: Bacterial small subunit ribosomal RNA
Source: RNAcentral